RNAcentral lists this long non-coding RNA (1790 nucleotides) under Daphnia pulex (common water flea). RNAcentral describes it as "uncharacterized LOC124207796". Lineage: Eukaryota; Metazoa; Arthropoda; Branchiopoda; Diplostraca; Daphniidae. The record is from RNAcentral.
CUCACGUCUCACGUCGGCGGUCGGCUGUUUGGCGCCUUUUUUCAGUCAGCUCAAACACCGGCAUGCCCAAACACCAUGGCUCAAACUUAAAAUUUAGUGAGGUUGUUGCCAAAACAAGAUAGUGUUUCAAAAAGCCAAAGAUUACCUUAUGGAUGCAAUUUUACCAAGCUGAAAAGAAGUGAGGCAUACAAUAAUUGCAGUCAAUUUAGUUCUGUGUCUUAACUCUGAAUCGGCAAAGUACCUGAGGCAAUGAACUAAAGCGUUCAGUGUCAGCCUCACCUACCUAUUCAAACUGCCAUACAAUUCUUACUUGCCCUGAAAAAACAAGAACUCCAAUAUCAAGUUUAGGUCAGCAGAAGCAGCAACCCCAUCAGUUUGAACAGCAAUUGCUUGCAUGUAAAAAGGCCCUUUGUCAAGUGCUACACAAUAUCAGCUUGGAGUCAGUGCUACCACAUCCUGUUGACAAACGAGCAUAAAGGCAAGAACAAAUCCUUUCAGAUGGUAAACUUGAGAAAGAAGUUUGGUCAAAGAAAUGAAAACAAAGGACAAAUGGAAACGGAGGAAGUUGUGAGAAGGUGCAGCUGGCAGAAGUGGAUUAUGAAUUCAUGCUACAGUUUCAUGUGGAAUCUUAAUCCAAAGUAGAGCCCGAAGAACCGCCCACUACCAACAGAACUCAAUCCACACACAGAAACUGGCAUGAUUGUGGCAUGCACUUGCUGUGUUUCUGGGGGAGUCGCAAACACUUGAACGUGAAGAGAAAAAGGAAGUAGACCAAAAAAGAAGAAAAUAAAGAACAAGAAAAAGAGAUGCAUAUCAACUACAUAUACUGCGCAUAACACCAAAGGCAUCAAAGGACCUGGAAACACAUGAAUGAAGAUGUUCGUCGUCACGGCCGAUCUUCGCAGAAUCUGUCGGGUGGUACCCAUGUGCCUCAACAGCUAGUUUCUUCAGAUUGACCCACGUCUUCCCACGUCCCACGUAGUUUAUAUUGAUCGUCAGAGGAACUAAAGGGCCGUCAGCCACUUAAUACCACGGGAUGGCGCGUGCUGUGAAAGUGCUCUAACGUAAGUUCCCUUCUGGCGAGCGUCAUGGGCUUCGUUGUCACGCAUCAAAUGCCAAUCUAUUCAUUCUGAUUACAGCGUGUAUUUACGGCGACGUGUCUCGAAGAAAAUGUCAAGAGAGGAUCGUGAUCUUUUUAUUUCUCAGGUAAGCACAGCUCAUUUUAUUUUUAUGUAUUUCAACUCUUCAAAAAUGAAAUGCAUGUAACAGAAAAAAUGACAACAUGUUGUAAUAAUUAAUCAGCUGUUCCCCAACACUGGAAAAAGAUUUGCACUGCUUGGUAGCAACUGGUUAGUUUCAACUGAUUUUGAAAGUUUCAUUCGUUAAAUCAGGAAAUUCUUAAUCAUAAUAUUCUUUAACUAUGGUUCUCAACUUUCUCGGUCUUGACGUUUGCCUUUGCGCUUAACCCAUCUGUGUUCGAUUGCUUCGCUGUUUUCAGAAAAUUCCCUUUGAAGGUUUUUAUAUUGUAAAGCGUCCCCCCCUAUUUUACGCUUCCGCAAGCGCUCUUGCAACCAGUCCUCUGGAUUUUGAAGCUUCGUUGUAUUCUUGAGUAAUUUUCCUCCCAAGGUAUUCGACUUCGUGAUGGUCAAUCUAAACCACACCUCAAAUAGUCGGUAGUGAAAUGUUUACAAACUUUUGCCAUCACUUUUAGCGGUUCCCUUUCGAAAAUGGGUUUCAGCCAAUUCUCAUUGACCGAGUGAAAUAUAUAUAUAUAUUUCGUAUUAAUAUAA